Long non-coding RNA from Manacus vitellinus (golden-collared manakin), 100 nucleotides. RefSeq lists it as uncharacterized. The record is from RefSeq and is a predicted model, not a curated record. NCBI's taxonomy places the organism in Eukaryota, Metazoa, Chordata, Aves, Passeriformes, Pipridae. The transcript has 3 exons.
GCUGGGAUGUGUUGGGGAAAUAAAGUUUCCUGUGGUCUUGUCCGUGUAACUCUCAUCCCCAGCUCUGAAAGGUAGAGGACUCUUCUAGUAAUGCCAGCGG